This 684-nucleotide ribosomal RNA is filed under the name uncultured Methanoculleus sp. RNAcentral describes it as "bacterial SSU rRNA". It matches the Rfam family "Archaeal small subunit ribosomal RNA", at positions 74 to 762 of the family's 1478-position model. Lineage: Archaea; Methanobacteriati; Methanobacteriota; Methanomicrobia; Methanomicrobiales; Methanomicrobiaceae. The record is from RNAcentral.
GCCCUCGGCGUACUGCUCAGUAACACGUGGAUAACCUGCCCUAAGGAAGGGGAUAACCCCGGGAAACUGGGGAUAAUACCCUAUAGGUUACAGAUGCUGGAAUGCUCUGUAACCCAAAGUUCCGACGCCUUAGGAUGGAUCUGCGGCCGAUUAGGUUGUUGUUGGGGUAACGGCCCAACAAGCCAGUAAUCGGUACGGGUUGUGGGAGCAAGAGCCCGGAGUUGGAUUCUGAGACACGAAUCCAGGCCCUACGGGGCGCAGCAGGCGCGAAAACUUUACAAUGCGGGCAACCGUGAUAAGGGAACCUCGAGUGCCUGUAUAUGCAGGCUGUCCAGGUGUCUAAAUCACACCUGAAGAAAGGGCCGGGCAAGACCGGUGCCAGCCGCCGCGGUAAUACCGGCGGCUCGAGUGGUGGCCACUUUUAUUGGGCUUAAAGCGUUCGUAGCUGGGUUGUUAAGUCUCUUGGGAAAUCCGACGGCUCAACCGUCGGGCGUCUAAGAGAUACUGGCAAUCUUGGAACCGGGAGAGGUGAGGGGUACUUCGGGGGUAGGAGUGAAAUCCUGUAAUCCUCGAGGGACCACCUGUGGGCGAAGGCNCCUCACCAGAACGGCUUCGACAGUGAGGGACNAAAGCUGGGGGAGCAAACCGGAUUANAUACCCGGGUAGUCCCAGCCGUAAACGAUG